Molecule: long non-coding RNA, 1451 nt
Organism: Panthera uncia (snow leopard)
Lineage: Eukaryota; Metazoa; Chordata; Mammalia; Carnivora; Felidae
Exons: 2
Source: RefSeq, a predicted model, not a curated record
GGUCUGAGAGGGGAGGCAGAUCCAGGGGAGGGAUGUGGGUCACAGAGAGGAGGCAGGUCUAGGAGAGGGAUGUGGGUCUGAGAGGGGAGACAGAUUCAGGGAAGGGCCCUUGAUAUGACAGGGUCAGUUGUCGGAAGGGAGUGUGGGUGUGGCAGGGGUGGAGGGUUGCGAGUCUGAGAAGCAAAGGCUCUGAGGAAGAAUGAGAUGUGGGAUCUAGGAACUGAGGGCUUUUGAAGGGACCACGAGUCUGGAAGGGGCAGAGGUGUAGGUGUGAGAAUUGAGGACAAGUGGAGGAUGGUCUGAAGGUGUGUGAGAAGAGCAAAUGCAAAGAACAUGUGGGUCUGAGAGAGUCAACGCUUCUUGAAACUUUUUUCCACUGUUAAGAAUUGCUGAACACAAAAAGGAAGUUUCCUUUUCUUUCCUUUUUCUUGUAAAGCGCUGCUUUUACCAUUAGCAGUUACAACUCCCUCUUUGGACUUCCUCUUUGGUAAAGUUAGCGAUCAAAGAACAAGAUAGAAUGUGCAAGCUACAUUUGUCCUGUGUGUUCUGCAUGAAAAAAGAAGGGGGGGGUUCAUGUUUUCCUGUCCAUCUCACACGUUUCUUUACUGCAACUUUGAAAUCGUGCAAUAUUUGCAUAGCCCUCUUACAUGUGCUGAGACCAUUGUCCUCCACAGUGGAGGCAGGUUAGAGUAAUGGGCAUCUGUUGAAGAAGGGUGCGAGAGAGGAAGAGGAAGAUAAUGUAGUAAUACCUCUUUGUAAAGAAGCUAAAUGUUUAAAAAUUCGACCCUAGUGUCUUUAAAUGGACAGAUAGUCCCUUUGUAUCUUAAAAUUUCUGAAACACUUCUAAAUACAUUGACUAUCACACAGGAUUAAUUUUAGUCUGAUUUGGUCAAAUCAGUCAUUCUUCAAUGAAAGUAUGUCUAUUUGGCUUUAUAUUUUGGAGAGAGGGUCAAAGUGGUAUAUAUUUAUAUUUAUUUAUAUUUAUAUUACAUCUAGAGUAAAUUGUUUUGUUUGUUUUUCUUUUUUAUACAUGACCUGUUAUUGUUUGGAGAGCACUUUCAAAUAACUCUACAAGAGCUGUAGUAUAAUGGAAAGAUCACUAGUCUUAGAAAACCUGCUCAGGCCCUGCCAUUUAUUAGUUGUAUGACUUUGGCCAAGUUACUUAACCUCUCUGAACUUCACUUUCCUCAUUGAUUAAAUUGGGAUAGUCUUACAUCAAAGGAGGGUUAAAAUUAAGUGGGAUAAUGUGUGAAAGAAUCUGGACUGUUUGCUGAUCUUAAUAUUGAUAGCUAUGCUAUUUGUUGUCUACAAAUUUUAUACUCUACUUAAAAUUUACUACUUGUAUUGAACGGAGUUGAAUAUAGUCUAGGUUUUUUGUUUUGUUUUGCUUUUGCUUUUUAAAUUAAAAAUAUAGACCAGAGAUACCAGAGAGGUUUCAAUGUCUUGAACAG